Molecule: long non-coding RNA, 676 nt
Organism: Nicotiana tabacum (common tobacco)
Lineage: Eukaryota; Viridiplantae; Streptophyta; Magnoliopsida; Solanales; Solanaceae
Source: RefSeq, a predicted model, not a curated record
ACGAAAAACACACAUCCAUAAGCAAUUGUAAGAUCUCUAAGAGUUUAAGUUAAUUGUGUCCACUACUUGUUUCUAAAUAUUUCCAAGUUCAAAAGCAAAAAACCAUGGACGAAAAUCAGAAAUUGAGCUACGAUAUUGGCGUAGCUAAGGGCCAAGCCCAGGAAAAAGGUAAUCAAUUGAUGGAGAAGGUUGGGACUGCUGUGCAGUCUGCCAAGGAAACAGUGCAAGAGGUGGGGCAGCAAGUGAAGACCAAAACACUAGUAACAGCAGAUGCCGUUACAAUGCCACUGGCAUGAACAAAUAAACCACGUUAAUUUCUACCAUAUUAUCGUUUAUGAAGAUCUUAAUUUCUUCUACUUCAAUUGGGUUACCAAUUUAUGUUGCUUAAGUUUGAAUUAUUGGUGAGAACUUCUGCGGUUCUGAAUAAUAUUUAAGAAGCAGCGUCUCUAAUAAUGUUUUGUUCUUAUUAUAUCAGAACUUUUCUCAAGAUUACAACGACAACCUGAAGGAAAUAAUAAUUACUAUUUCUUAUCAAUAAUAUUCCUUCAUCUAUUACGGAAUUAAAUGUUUUUUACAUGAUAGUUUUAUUUAUGCGUCAAAUAGUAUGGAAACAAUUUCGUAUAACCACUAAUGAUUUGACUAGGGGAAAAUGAGCAUAUGAAAAUAUUAUGUGUUU